This 4416-nucleotide ribosomal RNA is filed under the name Triticum aestivum (bread wheat). RNAcentral describes it as "partial small subunit ribosomal RNA". Lineage: Eukaryota; Viridiplantae; Streptophyta; Magnoliopsida; Poales; Poaceae. The record is from RNAcentral.
AUGGCCGAGCUCGCGGCGGGCGCCGUGAGCUCGCUGCUGGUCGUCAUCCGCAGCGAGGCCCUGCUGCUGCGCGGCGUCCGGGACGACGUGCAGUUCAUCAAGGAGGAGAUGGAGAGCAUGAAGAGCUUCCUGGCGCACCUGGCCAGGUGGGCGCCCCCCGGCGGCGAGCACGACGAGCAGGUGCGCACCUGGAUGAACCAGGUGCGGCUGCUCGCCCAGGACUGCAACAACUGCAUCGACCUCUACCUCUACAGGGGGAAUCCUGACAUCCACCGCGCCAGAGGUGGGCUCCGAGGCUACCUCUGGUGGGCGACCUGGUUCUUGCACAAGCUGGCUGCACAGCACCGCGCGGCUGAGCAGCUGCGUCUUCUCAAGGAGCGGGCACGCGAUGUCGGCGAGCGGCGGUUGAGGUACGGCGUGGAGGUCCCGGACAAGUCCGGGAAGGGGCAAUUGGCUCUGACGGCAUCCUCGUCAUUGUGGGCUGCUGCGGCAGGUGGCUAUGCGGCCGGGGAUGACGAAGAAGAAGACGGUGAUGGUCAACUCAUGGGGGCAAUGGCGACCGACGGCCAUUCUGGUCCAAGAGCCUUCACUAAGCCUCGCACUCUGGACGACUACGUCAAGGCAAAGCUAUGGGAGUGGUUGCAAGGAGUUCCUGGUAACGCCGGCGAAACUUUGUCCAUGGUCGUGGUGGCACCCUACACAUAUGAGGACCUCCUCGCUCUUGUACAAGAAACUUGGCUUUUGAGUCAAAACCGGAGGGGCUACCAUCGCAUUGUCGUGGUUGACAUCCCAGCUGUGCACCCUGAUUUUAUGCUGCUACGGCCCAAGGAGGUUCUCUUCUACAUUCUGCGGGAGCUUAAGCUUGCCAAGUCCAAUCCCCAGGAGCAAGGCACAGAAGGCCAAGAGGAUCUGGACUCUUGGGAAGUUUACCUAAGAAGAUGGCAAAUUUACCGUGAAAAGAAGAGGGCUAUUGCUCUUCUUGACAUCGAGGAGAAUAUCGAAGAGAUGAAGAUUUAUGAAAAGCUUGACAAAAUCAAAAGUGAUAUUCAAGGUCGACUAGAGAAGGGCGACGGGCUUCCCAAGGGCGACAAGCUUCAGGGUGAUUUUGACAAGUUGGACCUAGACGUACUACUUCAGCUGCUGCUCCAGACAGCGUCUCAACAAGAUCAAAAGGGGAAGAACAAAGACAUGCAUAGAUUACCACCGUGGGACAAGGACAACAUCAUCGUCAAGAAGCUCAAGGAGCAUAUGGAAGUAGAGGAAAAGGACAAGAAGAUUGAAGAGAGAGAAGCUGCCAAGAAUAUGGGGGUGGAAGGAGAAGCCGCAGUUAAGCAUAUGGAAGAAGAGGGAGGAGGAGAAGUAACAUCCAAACAUAUGGAGGAGGGGGGAGGAGAAGUAGCCAUACAUAGGGAGGAGGAUAUGGAGGAGAGGGAAGGAGAAAUAACCAUACAUAGGGACGAAGAGGAAGAAGGGGGCGGGAGAGGAGAAACAACCGGGCAUAUGGAGGUGGGAGAAGGAGAAGUGGCCAUACACAGGGAGGAGGAUAUCGAGGGGGGAGGAGAAGUAGCCGCACAUAGGGAGGAGGAUAUGGAAGGAGAAGUAACCAUACACAGGGAGGAGGAGGAGGAGGAGAAAGAAGAAGAAGAAAAAGAAGAAGAAGAAGAAGAUGAUGAUGAUGAUGAUGAGGAUGAUGAUGAUAAUGAUGAUGAAGAAGAAGAGGAGGAGGAGGAGAUGAGGAGGAUGAGGAGGAGGAGGAGGAGGAGGAGGAGUACGCCACGGAUUCAGCUCGAUGAGGCACAAUAUGCACACAUCCUGAGGAAGCUGUUUCCCAAGAGCAGCAGCAGCAGCAGCAAGCCCGUGCAGGCCCAAGACAGAUCCUUGGACAAGCAAGCUACAAAGACCACAACGCCUACACUGGGUGAGGAUCAAAUCAAAAAACUCAUCCAUGACGCAAAGGAAGACAUCUUACGGGAGUUGCAGCAAGGCAAAUAUGACAAGAGUGAAGGGACAGGUGAACCUGGUGCUCCGGAUCAAAACCCAGAAACUGUUUCUGAAAAAAUACGUGCCGGUUUCGUGGACCAGAUGAUGGAAAAAAUGAAGCACGAGUUCAAAGAGCAGCUCAAGAUCAAAGGGCUCGUGAACGAGAUUAAAAAUAACUUGAAUCCUCAUCCGUUCCGGGAUAACAGGUGUGAGUGCCCCCUGUUUAUCCUAAAAGUUGAUGAGCUGAUGGAUGUUUCCACAUGUGAGGAUAUCAGAAAUGCUUUGAGCCUGUUAAACUGCAGUGCCGAUUUGAUGAUUGUCACCGCCGCAAAGGACAUCCAGCUGGCUAAAGAAUAUUGUUACCCACCUCGGGAACCAAUAGACUAUUCUCUUGCUGGCCUCUACCAUGAUACAGUGCUCAAGCUAACUAGUCAGCAGAAGAAUGAAGACAGCUACAACCCCCAAAUUUUUCAUGAUAUCUUGUAUGAGUGUGAGCCACAUGAAUUCUGCAUGAAGGUCUUCACUCAUGCUUUGUAUGCUAACCCCAAGAGGAGCGGCGAGGAGUUACAAAAGCUGCAUAGCACCUUGCAGGCUUUACCAACAACAUCAUUCAACAACAUUGCUAAGGUGAUGGUCAAGUUCUCUUACAAUGACCUGCCUAAAGAAUACAAGUCCUGCUUUCUGUACCUAGCUAUCUUCUCUCCGGGACAAAAGAUCAGUCGGUCAACCUUGGUUGCACGGUGGGUUGCAGAAGGGCUGACAUCCAAGGAAGAUUGGCCCAGUUCUAUGCGUCAGGCCAACCGAUGUUUUGACGCACUUGUUGGCCGGUGCCUUGUUCAUCCUGCAGAUAUUGGUACCACAGGAAAUGUAAAGAGUUGCAUCGUUGGUGAUCCGGUUCAUGGAUUCAUUACUGCCAUCGCCAGAAAACAACACAUUGUGGAGACACGCCUGUCACAUCACUUGGCUCGCCACUUCUCCAUUUUCAACGAUCUCCAACUCCGCAGCUCCGAUAGAAUUGAUAAAUUCUUCCAGGGCCUCUCUAAAUCAUCUCAAGUGUCACUGCUCAAGGUGCUAGAUCUAGAAGGUUGUCAGUGCUUUGGCGGGAAGAACCAGCGGUACCUCAAGGAUAUCUGCAACAAGAUGUUAUUGCUCAAGUAUCUGAGCCUGAGGAGAACAGAUAUUACCCAGCUACCCAGUGAAAUCAACAACCUCCGUGAGCUAGAGGUACUGGAUAUCCGACAAACUGCAAUACCUCAACAUGCAACAGCGAAUAUCCUGCUCUUGAAGCUGAAGCGUCUGCUUUCUGGUCACAUUGAUCCAAACAAUUUUGGAUCUAGUAGUCGGAUUCCUCAUAGGAUCGACAAAAUGGUAAGCAUGGAGGUACUAUCCAAUGUCAAGGCCCAGCAGAGUUAUGAUUUAAAAGAUAUUGGAAAGCUAUGGCAGCUGAGGAAGCUAGGUGUGGUUAUCGAUGAUAAGGAUAGUCACCUCAAGAAUUUGCUUCAGACGAUCAGUGACCUACAUGAGUGCCUCCGUUCUCUGUCAAUCACUACUAUUCCCGUAGCCACACCAUGCGAGGCAGAGUUUCCAGAUGUCAAGAACCAUCCCAAGAUUCUCGAGUCUCUAAGCAUCAAGGGAACCACACAAAAUGGGCGUCUUCUUCCAUUUUUCAUAGAAGGUAAUAACAACAAACUUGCCAAGAUAACUCUAGGUCACACUCUGCUGAGCCAAGAUGAUCUGAAAGUCCUUGCCAAGCUGCCCAAGUUACGGUGUGUUAGGCUCCAACACAUUGUAUGCACCGAGCACAUGCUGAACUUCAAGGAAGGUGAAUUCAGAUGCCUCAAGUACCUUGUUGUUGAGGGCUCGGACUUGACUAAUAUCACUUUUGAGGAUGGUGCAGCCAGUGAGCUCGAGAAGAUGGUUUUGUCUAUCACCAGCAUAUGUUCUAUUUCUGGAGUUGAGUAUCUUUCUGAAUUGAAAGAGCUUGAGUUGAACAGCAGCUUUUGCGGCAGUUUGCUGUCAUCAUUUGACAAUGCCAAACAGAUAGCCAAGCUGACUCUUCGUAAUACAUUGCUAGAGCAAGCUGCUCUACAACUGCUCACCAAGAAACCAAAUAUACGCUGUCUGGUGCUCUUGGACAAGUCUUUUGGUGGAACACAAAACAAGAUCACAUUAGAAAAAGAUGAGUUCUUAUGGCUCAACCUCCUUGUUGUUGACUGCUCGGCCAUCACCAAGAUUGUCUUCAACAACGGGUCUGCUUCUAGGCUCGAGAAGAUUGUCUGGUCAUCUUCCACAUCUCUGUCCGGCAUCGACAAACUUCCCAGAUUGAAGGAGCUCGAGUUCAAGGGUGACCAAGUCCCUCCUGAGGUGAGAGAUGCCAUUGAAAACCAUAAAAACAAGCCUAGUCUUAAACUCAAUGGACCAAAAACUCAAGACUAA